This is an RNA transcript of Pan troglodytes (chimpanzee), 6835 nucleotides long. It is a transcript of the gene named RAB40A like, with no coding region annotated. The transcript has 14 exons. Lineage: Eukaryota; Metazoa; Chordata; Mammalia; Primates; Hominidae. The record is from RefSeq and is a predicted model, not a curated record.
GACGACUUUUUAUUGAGACCAAUUUGGCCUGGGGAGAACCGCCUUCAGGCGUUUGGACUCAGUGGAGGUUGUGAGUGCCCAGCAGUGUGGCCUGAAUCUCCGUGGGGUUUAGGGAGACGAAAGGACCCCAGAUCGACGUCCCCUCGUUCCCACUUUGGGGAUCGGCGCUCUGGCUGUUUCGUGAAGGAGAGAGAGGAACUCAGAGUGGUUUUCCAGAUGGGAAUCACAUUGCUCUCUGUCCCUGAGAUCUUGCUGGAGACAGGGCUACUCAGUCCCUCUUUGCCAGGUAAUCUGUUCCAGAAGAAACAUGUGUCGUUCUGACUGAGCCCCUGCCUGUCUGUCACCUUAAGAGCCAGUCAAUUCAUAUGGUCCCCAUAUCAAAGUCUCCUGUGCCCAGAGAGAGGAUUUCAUUUCAACCAUCACCAUCACCACCAUCAUCAUCAUCAUCACCAAGAGAUUGAUAUUGGAAAAGCAGUUUCUAUUGAGCCCCCAAAUGAAGAGUGAGUGCAGAUGAAGAGGAGGCAGGACUCACAAGCCCUUGACCUUCAUUCCAGAUCUGUUAGCACCUACAGGACCCUGCACCAGGAUUUCAUCUGUACUAUCAGCUUCUUCAAAGAGAGAGAGGUUGUUGAAUUGAUAUUGGAAAAGCAGUUUCCCAUUGAGUCUCAAAUGAAGAGAGUGCAGAUGAAGAGGAGGUAGGAGUCACAAGCCCUUGACCCUCAUGCUAGACCCAUUACCAUCCACAGGACCUUGCAGUGGGAUUUCAUCUGCACCAUCAGCUUCUUCAGAGAGAGAGGUUGUUGACUCUUCAUGUGGAUGUCUGAGCUCAUAUCAGGUGUCUGAAAGAGGCAGAUUCUGAGGAUUUGGGUCAUGAUGGCUGCCAAAGCUUCUACUCCUGACUUAAAGGGCAACAAUCCUAGGAGACCACCAGCACUUACAUCCCUGGUAGGACAUGACACCUGCUUAUGGCUCAGAAGUGACAAAAGAGAAUUAUCAGGAUGGCAGUCCUUAUAACCAGAUGCUUAUCAACAUUCUUCACUACAUUCUGAAGAUGAAUUUCUACAAGGGAAAUUGUUUAUGGAGGCAGCAGAUGGCUGAAAUUCUGAUCUGAUGUGGCUGGUUAAUGCAUGAUCUGAAAACCCCUGCACUGGUGAUUUUGGGACAGAUCUAGAAUAUACCAAUAAAUAUAUUAACAUACCAAGUAGUCUAGGAGCAGCCACUGGGCGAACACCAAACCUUGCAUCCCUGGUGCUGUCUCUGAGCUCAGCAGACACGUCUUUGCAGAAGAGUUCUAUAAUGGUGGUACAAUGGCGCCCCCUCGUGACAGAAGCUUGAACUACAGCUUGAACUUCGUGUGACAUGAUGAAUGAAUUUAUUGAGCCCCAGGAAGAAGGAAAAUUAAAGAAGAGCAAAGAAUAAUAGCUGGACAGAAGAUGGGGGUCAUUGAACCUAUAUCCUAGUUGCCAGACCAGUAAACUGACCACGGGACCUGGGGGAGGCAGCAGAUGACCGAAAACCUGGAGUGAUGUGGCUGAAUACCGCAUGAUCUGAAGACUGCACUGGUGGCUGCGCCUUUUCAGCCUGGUUAGGAAACAUUGCUGGGGAACUAGUGCAGUGAUUUGGAGCUGUGCUCUCUCUCUCUCAGUGCUCUGAGAGUGUAGGCUCCUUUCCCACUCAAGUGCUGGCUGCAGAUCUGGGUUUGGCACUCCUGGAUGUCACACUGCAGCCCCGGGUCCAAGGACAUCGAGCACAGUACCUUUGCAGUGGCAGUGUCAGAGGGACUUUCAGUUGUCUCUGGGAGCCCCACCUCACAGAAAUGCAGAGCGUCUGCUAAUGCAAGUGUUCAGCCAGAGGGUGAGGUGGCUGUGCCAUGGGCCUGAGCUGGGAGCCCUUCUUGGUGAAGAGUAAAGGGUCAGGGACUCACACGAAAGGGAGACUGAGUUCCUCUCCAUAUGGUGACUGUGGCAUGCUAGAGACAUGAGUAAUGCCCUCAGGCUCUUUGUUCCUUCCCCAGUCCAAAGACAACAAGGUCAAAACCACUGCAGUGGCAGUGGUAAAGGGGCUGUCUGUUGCCACUGGGAACUCCACCCCAGGGAAACACAGAGCCACUGCCAGUGGGAAUGCUUAGAUGGGGGUGGCGUAGCUGCCCUGUAGUCCCAAGCCAGGGGCCUUUCCUGUUGAAGAGUAGGGAGUGAGGCCUCACAGGGAAGACAGACUGGGCUCCUCCCCAUAUGGUGGCUGUGGUGUGCUGGUGGUGCCAGCAAUGCGACCUGGACCUUUGUUCCUUCCCCAGCCCAAAGGCAGUAAGGGCAGUACCACUGCAGCUGCAAUGAGAGGGGCUGUGGGUUGUCUCUGUGAUUUCCUCCCUAGAGAAUGACAGAGCUGCCACUGACUUAAAUGUUUGGGCGGGGACAAGGUGGUUGUUCUGGGGGCCUGGGUUGAGAGACCCUGCCCACUGAGGAGUAACAGGGCCAGGGCCCAUGUGGAAGAGAGUCUGCCUUCUUAUCUAAAAAGCAGCUGCACUGUGCUGGAGGAUUGCAUUAGUCCUAAGUCUUUUGGCUCCCUCCUGAGCCUGAGGGAAACAGAAGCAGGAGCUGCAGAGCAGCAAAAAUGGCAGACCUGCCUGCUACAAUUGAGAGCUCUGUCCCAGGGAAGUACAGAUCCCCCAGGGGGAUCUGCUACUGGCCCAAGAGCCCAGACAUGGGUGGGGUGGCUGGAGUCCCAAGUCUGGAGGCCCUGCCCAGUAAGAAGUAGUGGGGACAGAGAUCUAUGUGGAAAAAAGUCUGGCCACUUUUCUGUAAGGCAGCUGUGCUGUGCUGGGGGCCUGCAUUAGUCCUUAAUCACCCUGCCAAGACUGGGGGACCCGUCUGCUACCACUGAGAGCUCCAUUCCAGGGAAAUACAGGGCUGCUAUUGGCCCUAGAGCUCAAGUGAGGCUGGAGUGGCCAUGCUAGGGACCCAGCCAAGUGGGCAUUAUCCAGCAAGGUGCAAUGGAGGUGAGGCCUGCAGUCCAUCUGCUCCUCAGCCCCGUGGAUUUAGCCCCUAUACUGGAGGCAUUCCAGGGAGCCUGGCCUCUCUUGUUGCCAGAGCUACAGCCACUGGUGCUGGGGUGCCCAGCAGUCCAAGGGCCCUGGAGCUCCAUGUGUGCCUGAGCAGUGGCUCUGCCUAGACUCCAUGUAGCUCUCCAUGUCAGUCUGCAGGCUCUGCUCAGGGAGUCAGGGGGAUCUUCUGAGCACAGGGUUGUGAAGAUCUGUAGCAGAAGCUUUAGUGAAAUUUCAGACAUUAACAACAAAGUUUCCCUGAUUUAUUUAACUUCUCCUAACUUUCUAUAACCUGAUAUAAAAUGGACAUUUAAUUAUAAAUUACUUGAGUAAAGGUUAAGAUUAAUGAAAAUACUACUCAAGUAACUUAUAAUUAAAUGCCCAUUAUCAUCAUCAGCAUCAUCAUCUAAAGGGGUUAUUGAGUAGGCAUCCAUGGGGUGGUGUGAAAUGACCAGCCCCUAAGCCUUGGUGGCCCAUUAUCUACAGAAGAUAUCACUGGGCACAUUAAAUGUUUUCCAACCUUCUUUCGUUAUCCAAAGGAGCCUUAUUAGACAUGUUUUUCCUCCUUAUUAGUCCCUUCUUGCCUGAAAUGUGAAAUUUUAAUACCACAGAUAUAGUGUUAACUGUUUAUGUAUUUUGGUCCUAUGUAGUGCCACAAACCAUUUUAAUGUCUACUAUCUCCCUAACCUUAAAAACCAAUUCUCAGCCCCUUGGGGGCAAUAUAUCCUCUGUUGAAAAUGCAUGGAACAUUUUAAAGAGGACAAAAGCUGGAACCUCAUUCCUGCCUUUUACUUGAUGUGUGACACUGGAAAACUUCCUUAACCUCUGUCAGCUUUCCCAUGGUCAUCCGGAAAAGGGAACCACUGAGAGCUCAUGAUGCGUUACUUACAGAACUCUCCUGUGGGGUAAAUGAGAAAUCCUAUACAGAGAAGAUGGCACCUAGAGAAAUCCUAUACAGAGAAGAUGGCACCUAGUCUUCAACAAAUGUUCAUCCUGGCCCACUUUUCUUCUCCUUCCCAGAGAAGUGAUGACUGUCAUCUAAACCAAACAGCAUAACUACCACAGAGACCAGCUGGUAAUGGAGCAGGAAGAAGUAGCAUAUACUUACAUUUAGUUUAUAAAUGAAGCUUUGGGGCUAUUUCUGUGAUGCAGGAUGGCUUUGCCAAGGAAUGUGGGAAGAGGGAAAAGAUCAUCAAACCAUUUCUUUAAUUCUGUGUCAUUUUUGCCCCAUUAUUUGAGCUUCUAUACUGAUAUUGGAAAAAUAGUUUCCUAUGGAGUCUCAAAUAAAGAGAGAGAAGUCACAUGCCCUUGACCCUCAUACCAUUACCACCUACAGGACUCUGAACCAGAAUUUCAUCUGCACCAGUGGGUAAUUCAAAGUGGGAGGAGUUGUUGAAUGUGUAUCCAUGAGGGCACAAUACUACAAACGUGUAAAACUACUAGGUUUUAAAUCCUAGAAUGUCAUGGUGUAUAAAAUAUUGAUAAUUAUUGCUUUGGUUUUGAAUUAGGGGAAAAUAUAUCCUCGUAUACUUGGAAGUGGCUCCCUCAGUAUCUUUUAUUCUUGAGCUUCAGGGAUAUUCUUCAUUCUAAAUGUAUAUCUCUUUCCUGUGGGUGGGGUAAGGAAUGCUUGAAUGUUCCUGACAAUGUUUUUGUAUAAUUGCAGGAGCAUUUGAUAUUUAUUACAGUUAUAAAUACAUAAGAAAUGAAAUAAACAGCAUUACUCUAAAACAAAAGAGAAUACCUGCUCUCAAAAUAUCUUGAAUAUUUCAAAGAGAAUACCUGCUAAUGCUUAUAUCUGUAUAAUAUUCUUUCACAAAUUUUCUUAUGCAGGUACUUAUAAAUUUAUGCAGAAAUGAAUACAUUUAUAUACUUAUCUACAAAAUAUAAGAUCUCAUUCUACAUUUAGUUUUAUAACCUGCUUGUCUCACUAAAACCAUACCUCAAAGGUCAUUGGUUGUGAGUAAAUAUGAGUCUUUACCACAGAGAUAGUAAAUACUAAUGGCCAAUAAAGACAGAGAAACAAAUAUGGCUACAAUAUAUUAUGUGCCAAGUGCUUUUUAGCUAUUGAGUCGUUCAAUUCUCACGGCACCCUUACAAGGUUGAAACUGUUGCUGAUCUCCAUUUUGUAGAUGGAAAACUAAGGAGCAGAUAGAAUAAAAAUGUUACCUGAGACUGCACAGUUAGGGAGUGGGACAGCUUGGAUUUAUGUUCAGUACAUCAUGCUGCAGAGCCUGGGAAACUGUCAAGGCUCUGUUGUUAGGUGAAAGAAGCAACUACACAAGCAUGCAUAUUUUAGGAGCUCAUUAAAAGUAAUACUUCACAGGUUAAUACAUUUACACAAAAAACUGGACCUGGUGACAAAUAGGUGGAUUGCAACCUUGGUAAGAUCAUGUUCAUUGCAAUCCUGGGGACAGAAGCCACAGUGCAGGGGGAAGUGAAGAAUUUUAACAGGAAAUGUGAAAACUCUCUUUGGUAGUUUAACUUUGAAGGGAAAGAGAUGGAGAUUCUGGCUGAAUGGGGAGAUUUAAAAAAAUAAUCAAUUUCUUGAAACUUGAGAAGGUUUUAAAAUGAAGAUACUUAGGGGUUUUGGUAAAUGAGAAGAUUUUAGCUGUUCUUGCCAUGCACAAAAAAAUGGGUAACUAUGUGGUAUUAUGAAUAUAUUUAUUUUCUUCACUAUAUAGUAACUAAUACUUUACUUUCUGUAUGUAUCUUAGAACAUCAUGUUGCAUAUCUUAAAUAUAGACAAUAAAUGUAUUUUUAAAAGUUAACGUGAUGAAGCUAUCUUAUCUCAGAUUUAACACUAGAAAUUGCUCUUUUUUUUUUUUUUUUUUUUGGCUGGAGUACAGUGUUGCGAUCAUGGCUCACUGCAGCUUCAACCCCCUGGGGCUCCUGUGAUCCUCCCAGCUCAGCUUCCCGAGUAGCUGGGACCACAGGUGCAUAUCAACACACCCAGUUAAUUUUUUUUGUUUGUUUAUUUUUGUAGAGACGGGAGUCUCUUUAGGUUGCCCAGGCUGGUCUCGGACUCCUGGGCCCAAGUGAUCCUCCCACCUCGACCUCUUAAUGUGCCGGGAUUAUAGGUGUGAGCCACUUCACCCAGCACAUUUUCUUUCUUACGCUCUUAUUUUCACUUUAGAGCUCAUGAGAGGCCUCUAGUCGACUAGUAUGAGUUUUGAGCUAAAUAUGUAUUUAGUUAUUAGUGAGAAAAUGGACAAUGGGCAAUUGUGAGUCAAAUAAAUGCUAAAUUUUUGCCUCUCCAAGAAGGCAGCAGGUGGCUGAAAUCCUGGUGUGAUAUGGCUGAAUAAUGCAUGAUCUGAGGACCCUGUACUGGUUACUCCUGUACACGUUCACAAUUUUUCUGUAAAUGUAUUAAUAUACUGAGCAGUCCAGGAGCAGCCAUUAGGCAAACACCACUCCUUGCUUCCUUCAUGUGACCUAUCACUGAGCUCACCAGCUGAGGUCAAUUACAUUCUUCCCAACCUGGAGAACAGAAUUUGGGUCUGCUCAGAGGCAUGAUGUGAAACAUGUCUGGGAUAAAAGCUUUGUUCUAUUGACAGCAAACCUUUUUGUGUUAAGGGGUAGGGGAAGAGCAAGUGAAGGAUGCAGAUUAAUUUCUAUUUAGGAGUAUACUUUUAUAUAUUGUUUGAAAUUUUGUCUUAUAAAAAUAUUCAUACAAAUUUAAACAAAAAAUUACUUGUGAACAGAUUGACAAAUGUCAUGUGCACACAUAUUUAUUAAUUUGAAAAAGCAUUCACUGUGUUAAAUUUAUGGUGAAAUAAAGUUGAUUAAACUUUGAAA